AGAGUGCAGUUUCUGAGUACCAAAUAGGUCUACAAAGGGUCCAUCAUGAAUCAUCAUAAGACUAAUUUUAUAAAAGAUCUAUUAGGGAUUCCUUAUUCAUCUUAAAGAAUGAAGUAGUAUAUGAAUUGCCCAAGAACCAUGUUCAAUAAAUGCAGUUUCUAGUACCAAAACCAUCUGCUUAGGGACCACAUUAUCAUCAUAUCAUAUCAUCAUGUAAUAUACUAAAUAGUGGGAAGCUCCAUAAUUGAAAGUUAUAUUACGAUAAUACUCUUCAAAAGUUGAUUGACUAAAUUACCCUCAAUCUAAAAGUAAAAUUACCCUCAUCUAAACACUAUUCCUGUAAUAUAUUUGUUUCAAAUAGGAAUCUACCUUCCAAUAAAUGAUAAAUGAAACAAUUAAUAGAAAAUCAUCUCUUAUUAACCAAUUAGCAAUUAUAAUGGAAAGAAACGUUACUUAUCAUGUUAAUAAAUUGUAACCUUUCAAAGUGUAAUGAAUUAGUAAUUAUAAUGGGAAAAAAUGUCAGUUAUCAUGUUAACCAGACAGAUUAUGAGGAGUUACCAUUAAUAAUACAACAUGGUCUACAUUCAUUUGAUGUGAAUAAGUGCAACUCUACAAAUCCAUUUUACGUUAAUCAAUGCUUCUUUUCAUCUCUCAUACUUUAAAUGCCAUAUACUAAAUGAAUACUUCAUCUUCACUUUUACUUGUCCACUAUUCUAUUAAUAGAUUUUCACUUUUACUUGUCCACUUUCGCAUAUCAAGAGAAAAAUAAUUUAUUUUUUCUAUUUUACCCUUAAUAUUAAUUACUCAUUCCAAAUUAUUUUUCAAAUCCAAUGCAAUUAUACAUUAAUUAAUAUGGGUAUCAUGACAAAAUGUGCAUUUCAUUUAUUAUUUCUUAAGAAGUGUGUAAAGUCCAUAGUGGACAAGUAAAAGUGAACGGAGGGAUUACAAAGAUAGUCCCACAAACUAGGCCACGAUAAUAUCAUAAUUAUGAGUCGGGUUAUUAGUCACGAUAUCUACACACUUCAUAUUCCCAUCCAUCUUCGCUCCAUUUAUAUAAAUUCAAAUAAUCAUAGCAAACAAAGUGAGUUGCAGCAGUAGUAGAAAGGGAGAGAUUUGUUUGAACUAAGGAAAGAUUUCUCCAGCUCAUGUCCAACAGCCAGUGUUUUAAAAUGAAGUCUUGCCCGGGGCGGGGCACUGGCAAAACCCCCGGGGCAUACAUCGGGGCUUAAUUGCUGUGAGGCUUACGCCCUAAGCGCCCGACUGUAAGCCCUAAAACGCCUAAGCUCGACUGUACGCCCUAAACACACCUAACGCUCAAUGCUCGCCUAACGGUUCUUACAAAAAUUAUAUGUUAAAUUCCUUAAUUAAGGUCGUUGACCUUCAUAAUUCUUUAACAAAUGAAUGAUAGUUAAUACUUUUUCAUCUAUAGAAAUAAGAAGAUUGAGUGUAACUCAAAUAACAAGUCGUAAUAUUGUAUAUUUACUAUUUGAGAACAUCGUGAGAGUGAAUAACACUUAAAAAUUCUUUUAAAAAUGCAUAGCCGAAUUGUACAUUUCACUUGUCAUUGGUCUUUUGUCCCAUGUAUCAAAAUUAUCAUAUUUUAUUAUUUCGAUAUUUGAAAGUAAUUUUAUUUUUAUUCGUGAAGAAAUUACAUUUUAAUUAUAAUACUGAUAAAUUUUAUUGAUUAUUUGCUUAUAUGAAGAUAAAAUGAAUAUUAUGAUAGUAAUAUUGUUUUAAGAAAGAAAUUGUGAUUUUUUCACUGUUUGAAAGUUCAGAUGUUAGAGUUGAUUUGCAUUUCAUAAUUAGUUUUAUUUCAUUGUAUUGUUUAUGCUUCUAAAGUUAUGUUAUGUAUAAUUACUAGUUGUAAGUGGCGUAUAAUGAAUUGCUUUGAUUAGUAUUUUGUGAGGAUAGAGCGCAUAUUAUUUUUCUUUUAUUUUUUUAUGUAAUUUUACCUAGUUAAAAAUAUUAUUAUAAUUAUAUUAUUUUAUGAAAUACUAAAAAUUAAAUACUUAUGGGGCUUACGGCCCGUGUCUCGGUGCUCAAGCCUUGCCGAGGCAUAUGUAAAACGCUCUGCCUUACGCCCCCGCCUUUUAAAACACUGCCAACAGCUAUGUGUUCUUUUAGUUAAUAUUAUCUCUCCAGUAUUUGUUCUAUCAUGUCUUAUGCUUAGGCCUUGGGUUGUUUUGAAUUUCCUUUCUUGGGAUAGUUUUCUAAAAUUUGGUAGUCUGCCAAAAAAUUUAUAAUCGCUGUCGGCCCACAUGCAUUUUUUUACUACUAAUUUUUAUUUUCAUUUUCAUUUUUUCAUCGUCAUUUAUAGCAAUUGACAUUGCUUAUCUGAUUAAGAUUAUGAAUAGUUGGUGGUCAUAGCAAGAAUGAAUUAUCAUCAGUUUCAUUAUCAAUGUGUGAGGGUAAUGAAAUUCAGAAAGCCCUAUUCACUACUGCACUCCAGCAUAUUGACACUAAAAGGUUUCUUUAUAGUUAAUUAUAUGUCAUUGUUUCAUCUCUUUUGUUUAUUUACAUCCUACUUCAGUUUGUUUCCUAUGAUCUGAUAAUUCCCUUACAAUUGUUAAGUAUUACCAUUUGCAAGGGUGAAUGAGAUGGCAAUAUAAAUGAGACAAAUGGAACUAAUAAAAUUAAAGGAACUGAAGUGGAUGUUUAUAUGUGCUAUAUAAUCUCAUUCUACGUUUUUAGUAUUAUUCUUUUAUCGUUACGUUAUCUUCUUUAAAUAUAAUUUGGGAACUAUGGGAUUAAAAACAUGAAGUGUCAGCUUAAGUAAAUACCUGCAAAUUGUAAAGGCUUGGCCAAGCAAAGAUAAAUAUGUAUAUUACUGAAUUCAACUUGGAUUUAAUUAUUAUUUAAUUUCUUUUCUCUUUUCAGGGUGUAUUUCCUACUCAAAAUAAGUUAUCCUACCUUUAAAUUCUGAAGAUUAAUGUGUGUUUAUUGAGCUAUAUUUGUAGGUUUUGUGGAGAUAUAUAUUUUUUCGUGGUGUCUUUAUUAAUUUCGUUAGAGAUAUUUACAUGCAUUUUUUAAAUUUAGAGCAGGAAUUCAUCGAUAUACCACAUACCAUUAGAUGCUAUAUUAUCUUAAUUAGUUUUACGUACUUUAGCAUUUCCUAUUUUGCAAACAACUGACUAAUAAUUAAAUAAAUGAAAAUUAGCUGACACGGUUGUGUUUAUAUAGAGAAACAUAUAUUUGGUAGAAUAUAUUUUAGUCUAGAAGAGUAUAUUUGAAAUCAUCCUUUGCAUUUUUUUGGAUGCAAAAGUAAGCUCUAUAUAUAAACACAUUAAUCAAUACAUGGUCAUCAUAUUUACAAAAAUAUUAUGAGAUAAAUAACUAUCACCAUGAAAAUAGGUCUGUACAAAUUUUAUAUAGUAGUAGCGCUCAAACGUGCAACGCACGUUCCAAAGACUAGUUGCAUUAUAAUACACGUUACAAAACAAGUAACAACAAUAAAACCAAGAUAUAUAUGUGUUGAUAAUUAGUCUUCUACUUGAUUUUCAUUUCAUGUUUUAAUCUAGAAAGACAGUCUACCAGUUCCUGCUUUAGUUCAACAACUAUUCAAAAGUCAUAACAGCCGUCAACUUAGGGCAUUCAGUAAGGACCCAAAUUCCGAUGCAACAACGCCUGGCAAUUAUCUCUUUUGGUUUGAUAGAUAUUAAUACCUUAUUUUGAAGGUAUUGGACUCGGACCAGGCUUGAAAAUCAGGAACAAUGGCUUAACCUAGCAACUAGACAGGACUGAAACUUGAGGAUUUUAGCUUAGCAUACAAGGUGAAAAUGGCAAAAUCAGACAAAAAAUAAAAUAUGACAGGUCGUCAACAGCUUGGGUGGAGGGUUCGAGUUUUAGUAUCUCGUCACUUCUGCUGCUAAUAUUUUAGCUGCUAUUUUAAGUGGUUCUCACCAAUGUUCCCCUUAGAAUGUAAUGUACGUAGAUAACUGAAGAGUAAUUCGUAAUCGAAAUGGUAAUUUGAGAGCUAAAAUGGACUGUUAUUAAUCACUGAAAGAUUACAACCAAAAGGUUACAAGGUUACAACCAAAUGAUCGCAAGAUCAGAAUGGUAACAGUGUGAAACUCUAGUUUGAGCUUCAACCUGCAAUGGUGGAAUUAAUGGUGAGAUUAGAGGGAGAAGAUAGAGAGAAUUGGAGAAGAAGAAGAGAAUUGAAGAAAUGGGCUCAGAAUUUACCGGUCCAAAACUAACUCUCCAUUGAGGCCCAAUGCAGAUAUAUACAACUAAUCAACCCAAUUACUAACUAAUCUCGGUCGUCGAUCUCAUCACCGCCUCAAUGAUUUAAUCCCCUCCGUUGAAUUAAUGAGCCCAGUCAACUGCCAGCUGGUGCCAACUGUGCGCCAACUGGUCCUGUCGUUACACGCCACGUCUCCCACUUGAUAACAAAACCACUAAACCCUCCUCAUUUCUCUACUUUCCUAAUCAGAAAAACCUAAGCGUCGUUUCCUUACAAACCCUCCUCCUUCAAAUCGACCUUGUCCUCAAGGUCGGAGUUGAGCUACAAAUGUCGGGAACCUACUCUGAAUGUAAUCCCAAUCCUCCCACGUGGCAGCAUCGGGGCCCAAAUUAGCCCACUGAACCAAAACCUUAACCCCCAUUGCAUUAUUGACCUUCACCAUUCUUCGUUGGAGAAUCGCGAUUGGCUGCAUCAAAAUGUAACCGUCGACAUCACAAGCAGGUGGGGUGUUGGUGUGCAACCAAGUCCGACCCGAUACAUCGCUCUAGUUGAGACACAUGGAAGACCGGACGGAUCUGCGAGCCCGAUGGAAGCUCUAAACGACCUUGGGGAGCCCGAGGCGUAGAUUGGAAUUCACUUUAGAUUGGCCAUCUUGGAGUGCGUACGAGGUAUGUAAAGCAACCUCCCUUCUUUUUGGCAUGUCUUAGUUUUACAUAGGCUAGAUUAGAGCCUUAAGGAAAUUCCAAAUCCGAAAUCCGAGCAUGAUAUGAUCUAUAUAUGUUCCUUGGCACUCUUAUGUAUGAUUUGAUGAAAUAUGAACCUUUAUGUAUUUGAAAUAAUCGCUUUCCGAACUUUGCGCAAAAAGGUUUCACUUUAAAGAACUUCGAAAUUUCUGAAUGCCAUACAUUUCACAUAAAUGCUCGGAUUGCUCCAAUAUUUUUAUAAAAUUUUGCAUUAUGUAUGAUACGUAUGUUUUCCAUAGGCGGGCCCGACUUGGGUAAAUACCCGUCCGUGGGUCCCGCGACUUUCCUUUAUGUAAUUCAGAGAAUCUUUGAAAGAAUUUGGUAUGAUUAUUAUUCCGAUUUCAAAUAUGAUCAUUUUACUUAUGUUUGAAUUUAUGAUAAUGAUUUUAUGCAUAUGACUACUCACGACUCUACUCGUGCAUUCUGUUAUUCCUUUCGCCGAGUCCCGGGCCGGUUCUGUUGUCGUGCGCAUUUUGAUAUACUCCGGAGUUAUGCUGUGUUUAUGGUUCACCGAGCUACUCGCAAAAGAGGGUCGGGUUCCACCUAUAUUUGGUGUUAUGCUGUGUAUGGCGUUAUGUUGUGAUGUGAUAUGUGACGGGGAUACGGAGAUUUGAAACUUUCUGGUGUUAUGCUGUGUUAUGGCGCCAUCGACGGGUGGGCGACCAUAUUCUUCUGUACCCUAUGCAUUACUUACAUAUUUUUGAAAGUAAGCAAAUUUUGAUAUGUUGAAUUUGCACUUAUGUUUGGUACUUCCAUUUCGUUUAUGUCUCAGAUUUGCUUUCUGUAUAUUCUGCUUUGCAUACUCAGUACAUAUUUCGUACUGACCCCCUUUCUUCGAGGGCUGCGUUUCAUGCCCGCAGGUACAGAUGCACAGUUUGGUGAUCUACCCAUUUAGGACACCCUCUUCUGCUGUUUGGAGUGCUCUUCUCAUUUCAGAGCACACAUUUUGACGUUGUGUUCAUGCCCACAGGUAGACAGGGAGACAGUGCAGACCCGUAGGAGCUUAUCUCAUUAGCGGAUUCACAGGAACACUCCACUACUCCGGAGGUAGACAGGGAGGAGAACUUGAGACAGAGUCGUAGGAGCUGCUAGCUGAUUGAAAGCACUCCUUUGUUCCAGAGGUAGACAGGGAGACGGUGCAGACCCGUAGGAGCUUAUCUUAUCACCGGAUUCACAGGAGAACUCCACUAUUCCGGAGGGGUAUGAGAUGAUCAUGAUUCCUCCUGGGAGGUAGGCUCUUUGGUUAAGCAAAUACAUAUGGGAACCUGCUCACCACUUGGUGAAGCUCCUCAGGAAAAGAACCAGGACUCUGCCUUCCCUGACAGAUGCAUCACUGCAAUCUCAAGCUUCUGAUCCGGGUCGAAGAUGCGAUCGUACUGGAAGUACCUAUCAGCCUUUCUCAACCACUAACAAGGAUCAACUCCAUCGAAAUAUGGAAACUCAAAUCUAGGGUGGUGAUCCCUAGGGUUCGAUGAUCUUGUAUACUCGUUCGCUUCUCCUCAUGCAUUUUUGCCGCCUGAAAGUUCCAUUUGACGAACUCCUCUAGGUGCACUACCUAGGAUUCCUUCCUGAGUUGGAGUUUGACUUGAAGAGGUGUUACCAGUUGCUCCUUCUGGCUUAUUGACCAAUUUUUCCAACAGAAAAUCCAUUGUUUUACCUAGUUCUUCCAUUUUCGGGUCAUUAGACUCGAUGUAAGUUUGUAAUUGAGUAUCCAAUUUAUUUUACCAA
Molecule: long non-coding RNA, 6654 nt
Organism: Lycium barbarum (goji berry)
Lineage: Eukaryota; Viridiplantae; Streptophyta; Magnoliopsida; Solanales; Solanaceae
Exons: 7
Source: RefSeq, a predicted model, not a curated record